This 72-nucleotide transfer RNA is filed under the name Marmota monax (woodchuck). It matches the Rfam family "tRNA". Rfam says of the family: Transfer RNA (tRNA) molecules are approximately 80 nucleotides in length. Their secondary structure includes four short double-helical elements and three loops (D, anti-codon, and T loops). Lineage: Eukaryota; Metazoa; Chordata; Mammalia; Rodentia; Sciuridae. The record is from Rfam by way of RNAcentral.
UGGGCUGUAGCUCAGUGGUAGAGCGCUCGCCUAGCAUGUGUGAGGCACUGGGUUCAAUCCUCAGCACCACAU